RNAcentral lists this ribosomal RNA (507 nucleotides) under uncultured bacterium. Its description in RNAcentral is "bacterial SSU rRNA". It matches the Rfam family "Bacterial small subunit ribosomal RNA", at positions 28 to 523 of the family's 1533-position model. The record is from RNAcentral.
GACGAACGCUGGCGGCGCGCUUAACACAUGCAAGUCGAGCGAGAACCUGGCUUCGGCCAGGGGGAAAGCGGCGAACGGGUGAGUAACACGUGGGCAACCCACCCUUGGUAUCCGGAUAGCCCGGGGAAACCCGGAUUAAUACGGAAUGGCCCAACAGCUCUUCGGGGCGGUUGGAAAAGGUAGCUUCGGCCUCCGACCAAGGACGGGCCCGCGGUGGAUUAGCUUGUUGGUGAGGUAACGGCCCACCAAGGCGACGAUCCAUAGCNGGUCUGAGAGGACGAUCAGCCACACUGGGACUGAGACACGGCCCAGACUCCUACGGGAGGCAGCAGUGGGGAAUCUUGCGCAAUGGGCGAAAGCCUGACGCAGCGACGCCGCGUGGGGGAAGAAGGCUUUCGGGUUGUAAACCCCUUUCAGGAAGGACGAAGCCACUCGGGUUAAUAGCCCAGAGGGUGACGGUACUUCCAGAAGAAGCCCCGGCUAACUACGUGCCAGCCGCCGCCGUAA